Molecule: ribosomal RNA, 253 nt
Filed under: uncultured bacterium
Lineage: Bacteria
Description: partial 16S ribosomal RNA
Rfam family: Bacterial small subunit ribosomal RNA
Source: RNAcentral
UACGUAGGGGGCAAUCGUUGUCCGGAUUCAUUGGGCGUAAAGCGCGGGCAGGCGGCCCGCUCAGUCGGCCGUGAAAGCGCCGGGCUCAACUCGGCGAGGUCGGGCGAUACUGGCGGGCUCGAGGCUGGUAGAGGGCGGUGGAAUUCCGGGUGUAGUGGUGGAAUGCGUAGAGCUCCGGAGGAACACCAGUGGCGAAGGCGGCCGCCUGGGCCAGUCCUGACGCUGAGCCGCGAAAGCCAGGGGAGCGAACGGG